RNAcentral lists this ribosomal RNA (474 nucleotides) under Triticum aestivum (bread wheat). Its description in RNAcentral is "partial small subunit ribosomal RNA". Lineage: Eukaryota; Viridiplantae; Streptophyta; Magnoliopsida; Poales; Poaceae. The record is from RNAcentral.
UUGAUUUGUAGACCAAAAAACAAGGGUGGUCUUGGUAUUUUGAACCUGGGUGUUCAAAACGUGGCUUUGCUUCUCAAGCAUGCUAGUAACUUUCUCAACAGGAAAGACCUACCUUGGGUGUCCUUAAUUUGGGACUCAUAUUAUCAUGAUGGCAUGCCCCAGGGAACAACUUCUUGUGGCUCUUUUUGGUGGAAGGAUAUUUGUAAGGUCUUGCAGAAUUUUAGGGACUGCUCCUGGGUGCAGGUCAAUGCUGGGGACACUGCUCUCUUUUGGUCUGAUAACUGGAAUCUUGGCAAUGAAGUUUCUAGCUUGCAGUCUAGAUUCCCAAGAUUAUUCUCUUUUGCCAAGGAUCCAUGGAUUUCUGUUAAGGCCAUCUUCAAUUCAAUAGACUUGUACCAACACUUUCACCUACCUUUGUCUGCUCAAGCUUUUGAUGAGCUAAACUUGAUAAGAAAUAUGUUGGUCUCCCAUACA